UACGGGGGGGGCAAGCGUUGUUCGGAAUUACUGGGCGUAAAGGGCUCGUAGGCGGCCAACUAAGUCAGACGUGAAAUCCCUCGGCUUAACCGGGGAACUGCGUCCGAUACUGGUGGGCUUGAAUCCGGGAGAGGGAUGCGGAAUUCCAGGUGUAGCGGUGAAAUGCGUAGAUAUCCGGAGGAACACCGGUGGCGAAGGCGGCUUCCUGGACCGACACUGACGCUGAGGCGCGAAAGCUAGGGGAGCAAACGGG
RNAcentral lists this ribosomal RNA (253 nucleotides) under uncultured bacterium. Its description in RNAcentral is "partial 16S ribosomal RNA". It matches the Rfam family "Bacterial small subunit ribosomal RNA", at positions 524 to 776 of the family's 1533-position model. The record is from RNAcentral.